CAGCAGCCGCGGGAAUACGAAGGGGGCUAGCGUUGUUCGGAUUUACUGGGCGUAAAGCGCACGUAGGCGGACUUUUAAGUCAGGGGUGAAAUCCCGGGGCUCAACCCCGGAACUGCCUUUGAUACUGGAAGUCUUGAGUAUGGUAGAGGUGAGUGGAAUUCCGAGUGUAGAGGUGAAAUUCGUAGAUAUUCGGAGGAACACCAGUGGCGAAGGCGGCUCACUGGACCAUUACUGACGCUGAGGUGCGAAAGCGUGGGGAGCAAACAGGAUUAGAUACCCCUGUAGUCCCUGUCUCUUAUAC
Molecule: ribosomal RNA, 301 nt
Filed under: uncultured bacterium
Lineage: Bacteria
Description: partial 16S ribosomal RNA
Rfam family: Bacterial small subunit ribosomal RNA
Source: RNAcentral